UGGCAUCUAUUUGACAAACCUGCAGCAGUUGUUUAUCUGCUGCCUUGGUUCACUACAGAUGCAAGAAAAAGAAGUCCCUGCGCUUUCUGCCUGUCUGAUGUGGCAGCCCAGAUUGAAGGAGGGAAUACAGGA
Molecule: small nucleolar RNA, 132 nt
Organism: Suncus etruscus (white-toothed pygmy shrew)
Lineage: Eukaryota; Metazoa; Chordata; Mammalia; Eulipotyphla; Soricidae
Product: small nucleolar RNA SNORA31
Exons: 1
Source: RefSeq, a predicted model, not a curated record